RNAcentral lists this ribosomal RNA (240 nucleotides) under Xanthomonas citri pv. citri. RNAcentral describes it as "partial 16S ribosomal RNA". It matches the Rfam family "Bacterial small subunit ribosomal RNA", at positions 553 to 792 of the family's 1533-position model. The record is from RNAcentral. Lineage: Bacteria; Pseudomonadati; Pseudomonadota; Gammaproteobacteria; Lysobacterales; Lysobacteraceae.
ACUGGGUGUAAAGCGCGCGUAGGUGGUUCAGCAAGUUGGAUGUGAAAUCCCCGGGCUCAACCUGGGAACUGCAUCCAAAACUACUGAGCUAGAGUACGGUAGAGGGUGGUGGAAUUUCCUGUGUAGCGGUGAAAUGCGUAGAUAUAGGAAGGAACACCAGUGGCGAAGGCGACCACCUGGACUGAUACUGACACUGAGGUGCGAAAGCGUGGGGAGCAAACAGGAUUAGAUACCCUAGUA